CCUACGGGUGGCAGCAGUGGGGAAUAUUGCACAAUGGGGGAAACCCUGAUGCAGCGACGCCGCGUGAAGGAAGAAGUAUUUCGGGAUGUAAACUUCGAUCAGCAGGGAAGAAAAUGACGGUACCUGACUAAGAAUCCCCGGCUAACUACGUGCCAGCAGCCGCGGUAAUACGGAGGGGGCAAGCGUUAUCCGGAUUUACUGGGUGUAAAGGGAGCGUAGGCGGUGCAGCAAGUCAGAAGUGAAAGCCCGGGGCUCAACCCCGGGAUUGCUGUUGAAACUGUUGAACUAGAUUGCAGGAGAGGUAAGUGGAAUUCCUGGUGUAGCGGUGAAAUGCGUAGAUAUUAGGAGGAACUCCAGUGGCGAAGGCGGCUUACUGGACUGUAAAUGACGCUGAGGCUCGAAAGCGUGGGGAGCAAACAGGAUUAGAUACCCGAGUAGUC
RNAcentral lists this ribosomal RNA (440 nucleotides) under uncultured bacterium. RNAcentral describes it as "partial 16S ribosomal RNA". It matches the Rfam family "Bacterial small subunit ribosomal RNA", at positions 338 to 795 of the family's 1533-position model. The record is from RNAcentral.